This is a non-coding RNA of Equus caballus (horse), 6324 nucleotides long. Lineage: Eukaryota; Metazoa; Chordata; Mammalia; Perissodactyla; Equidae. The record is from RefSeq and is a predicted model, not a curated record.
GCAAAGUGUAGUCUAUGCAUACAAUGGAAUAUUACACAGCCUUAAAAAGGAAGGAGAUUCUGACACGUGCUCCAAAUACAAUUUUAUGUCACGUGUAGUUUACCAAAAAAAUUCAGGCCACAGGCAAAUCUAUGUCCUUACAAAGACCCCCUGUGAACACGUCAGCAAGGAAGUGACAGGUGCUGGGUCUCAGCUGCGUGGUCAUCACCCCCACCCUGGAACCCUGGGCUGCUCCAGACACAGCUGCAUCACCGCCUCGCAGGGCAGAUGCGGCUGCACACAAGAAUCACCAGAGGAGACCUGAAAAAUCCCGACGCCCAGGCCGCAUCUCCGACAAUUAAAACGGAACCGCGAGGGGAGGGACCCGGGCAUCGGCAUUUUUGAAGCUUCCCAAGUGAUUCCAGUGUACUGGCAAGGUUGACAAGCAGUGGACCCAAGGAGGAGCCCAGCAGGGAGGGGAUGGGGGGCCCCACCUGGACAGGUGCCACACAUCAGGGAUGCCACGGGACCCCAGGACCACCAAACGUACGCCGGGCUCAGCCAGGGCUCACGUGCCGACUUUGACGGGCUGGCACAGGCUGCCUGCAGUGCUGUGUUGCAAAGAAGAGUGACUCUAGGUGUGGCAGGAGAGGGAUGCUGUGACUGUGGGCAUGGGGCAGGCAGGAGGCAGCCCUCCCUGGUGGGAGAGUUACCCGAAAGCCUUCACGACCCUCCUUCUCUCUGGACCUCACGAUGCCAUCAACUGAGCAGGGCCCAGAUCGUGGUUGUCAUUUCACACAAGGAUUCAGAGAAGGGAAGCCCCAGUUAGCAGCGGUGUGGCUAAGACUGGAAGCCAGACCUUCUGACUCCAGGUUCACACCUCCCACCACACCCAUGGCCCCCUCCAGCCCUGUCCGUGGUCCUGAUGGGAAGGGUUCUGCCGUCAGUCUCUUACGUGAUAGUAUAAUGGAUCCGACCAUCCUCUGCAGGAUGGAGGACUGGCUGUGGAUCUGGAGGCAAAGGAAGGGCAGGGCUGGAGCCCUUUCCCAGCUCCUCAAAUCCCCACCUCAUCGGCCAGUGGUCAGAGCACCCCGGCCACAAGUUACCCACGAUCCCCAGUCCCCCUGAGCCCUGGCUCUGUCAGUCCCUCCCACCUUGGAAAGUCCACACCAAGACUCCCAGGUCUGUGGGCCAAGGCAGAGCAUGAGUGCCUGUGCCAAGGACAAGAACAAAAACGCCAGGCAGCUUCUGCAUGGGCUAGAAGACCCUGUCUUCCAGGGGGAUCUACUUACUUGUGUCCUAUCGCUAACUCAGUCCCUACAAUCCUCCUCACCCCAGGAAAGCUCUCUCCAAGGCCCAGAGUCAUGAUGCCCCUGGGCCUUCCACACAUUGUUUCUUCUGCUUGAAAAUCCCUUUCUCUCUUCUCUCAAACUGGCAAACUCCUAUUCAGCCUUCAGAACCCAUGGCAAAAGUCCCCUCUCCUGAAAAGCCCUUCCUUGAUCGCUACCCUCACACUCCCAUCCAGACUGGGUCAUAAACUGCCUUCUCUCCCCUCUAGGCCACCGCACAAGUCAUUUGCUUGGACUCUCCUUCCCUCUUUCUCUUCCUGGAGCACUCCUGGGCAGAGAGACGGACUCUUUCCUCUGGACUCCCACAACUGCCCGUGCAACCCCUAUCAUAGCACAUACAAUAUGUAUUUGGGAGUUUCUGGGUCUGCUUCCACGCCUAGACUGCAAACCAGGGGACUGGCCCUGAUUCAUCUUCACCUUCCUGGUACCAGUGAUACCAGCCUACAGCAAGGUUGACAUGAGGGAAGCCGUGUCGUAACUUAGAAUAACCUCUGACCAACCCGCCCACAUAGUGCAUGUUUUAACUUGCACGUAGCCUAAGUGACUUUUAUAACCACCCUCUGGGAAAUACGCACGUUCUGUAGGUACCUCCCUGUAGAGAUAAAUAUUAGCUCUGUUCUUUUGACUUUCUCAGGAAUACGCCGACCUCCUCGAAGAAACACAUCUAUGCUGACAUCCAUCACCAAUGACACCUGAAAGGCCUGGGGUGGGGCCUCCAGUCCCUGACGCCAGAUGGUCAACAAUCCCAACCCCUUCCUUUAUAGCCCGCUGGCCCUACAUAACUGCUUAAACCUUGUGCUUGAGUAAGAUGGUCUUCGGGACAUGACUCCACCAUCUUCCGAUUUCGCUGGCUAAUGGAAUAAACCCCUUUCUCCACCACCAACUCGUCUUGCAAUUGAUUUGGCUUCAGGGUUGGGGCGAGCAGAACGAGCCCUCGCUCAGUUACACCGAUGCAGAGCCGUGCACCCAACAGGUAAGGCCCGGCCAAUAACGGAACACUCGAUCCUCGGAGCACUGCUUAAGUCGUUCAGACUCAAGAUAACAAGUUAGGCACAGUUAGAAUUUUUGGAACGGACAGACUCCUGAGACAUGGGUUAAUCCGGCCAGAACAAGCGGCUUGCCCAAGGCCACACCAUCCUAGGGGUGGGGCCAGUUUGCCGACUGGGACAAGCAGAAGGAAUGAAAAGAAGCACCAGAGGAGAGACGGGGAGAGAAGGGCAGGAAAUAGUAUUUUUUUCUUUCUAUUUCUGUGUUGUUUGACUGGCUACCAUGUCCAUUUACUCCUUUAGGAAUCUUUUAAAAAAAAAUAAUAAAACGAAAACGUUUUAAAUAUGGAAAUCAAUGUUGGAGACCAGACGUUCUCGAACCGGCCACAUCCUAGUUGGGAGCAGGGAGCGGCCAGUGCCAAAGAGAGUCCUGGAAACCACCCAAAUGCCCAUCCGGGGCAGAAUGGAAAUAAACGGGGGAUAUUCACACAACGGGACACCAGACGGCGAUGAGAAUGAGCAAACGACUGCUUGCAGAAAGACGGACGCAUCUCAGAUACGACGCCGAAUGGCAGUAUCCACUCCUGGAUCCUAUAUAUAUAAACUUCAAGAACUGGCACCAGGGGCGUUUGAGGAUAAAAGCCAGGGUGGUGGCCACCCUUGGCAGUGACUGGAGGGGGCAUGAAGGGGUUUCCGGCAACCAACAGCGUCGAGCAUCUUGAUCCGGGUGCUGGUUCCACAGGUUGCUCACCUGGAGUCGUGAUAGGGAGGCACGCUUUCCCGUACGUUACACUCCACUGAAGGGUUUAAAGAUGGACAGGCUGCUGCUGGGCUAGAUCUGAAGAAGGAGCACUUUCGAAACCACCGCCCUGGGGUCUCUACAGGCAGCCGGGGGCAGCAUUUCUGCCCCAGGGCAGGGCUUAAGCUUGCUGACCUGCCUGUCCCUCCCUGACCCCAUCACCUGGGCCCCAUCCCUGCUGGUCUCCCCUCCUGCGUCCUCCCCAGGCCCAGCCUCAGAGCUGCAAUUUCCCCCUCUCCUUCUGGCCCCGGGCCUGCCUGGGGUCCGUCAUAGCCCCUGGAGAAAAGCCGGCCUCCCUCCCAAAUGAGCCCGGGCCCAGGAGAACGGCUGUGGCCGCCCCCUCCAGGCUGGGCCCGUGCCUGGUGGCGGUGGCCUGAAUCCCCAGCGCUGAGGACUAAAGAGAUUUGUCCAGGAGACAAAGGGGGUCUGUCCGUCUGUCCCACAGAGGCUCCAAGCUGGCCCCGGGCCCUCAGAGCCUCUCCCCUUCUCCAGCUCAGCCCCGGCUACUCUUUGUGUCCAUUCAUGAAUUCAUGGCUCCUCCUGCAUGGCAGACAGCAUCUUGGCUCAGCCUUUGGGAAACAGAGUGGGGAAAAAACAGUCCUUGGGCUGGCGCCACGUCGGAAUGGAAUGGCUGCGAGAUCAAAAUCCCCGGGGGGAGAGAGCCGGGGACAGGAAGGGGAAACUGAGGGAGGGGUGGGAGGGGCCGAGGCUGGACCGGGUGCUAGGUGCAAGGAAAUCCCACAUGGUCUGUAGGAGAACACAGGUCUCAGCCAGGCUGCACAUGGCAUUCCACAUGAACGGCGCCCCCUGGAGGUGUGCAGCUGAUGGUACUGACCCCGAGGACCUGGGUCAGACCACAGCCCUGCACCCUCCCCAUGCCUCCCUGGGGAAUCUCUUCUCCUCUGGGACAAUGAGAGUCCACAUCUCUAAAGCAGGGCCACCCCCUCCUCCCGGCCUCACAGGAAGCUCCCGCAAGAUAACAGUGAGAUGCUGCCAUGGAAACCCAGACUCCUGAACCAGUAACCCCUGGGGUGAGGCCCCCACCUCUGCAAUUUUUAUAACAAGGGGCAGAUGCAAGCCCGAAUGGUCGGCCCACUGCCCUCGAUGCUGUGGGUGCCCAGCUGCUCCUCGGCAUUUGGACCCCGCAGCCGCACGCCCCAGGCCUGAGCGCUCUAGCUGCAGAAGCAAGGUGGGGCCUUUGCCCUGCGGCUGCAAGCGCCCGAGAGUUAGUGCCGGAGGAUGCAGCCUCGACAGCGACUCACGGGGAGCUGAGGAAGACUCCAGCCCACCCCAGCCCUCUGCCCUCGGUGGGAAGAAUUCCGAGCCAUCUUCCAAGCAGAAUUAGGCUCCGGGUGCCCACGGUGCCAACUUGCUUCUUCAUAAACCCUUCAGGGGGGCUGCGUGCCCCUCCCUGUUCUCACUCCCCCAUUCUCCCAUUGAUGAACCUUGGGGUCACCUCCCAAACACGCUGCUUGCCCUUGAAUCCUAGUCUCGGGGUCUGCUUCUGGGGAAACCCAAACUAAGGCAGAUUCUCAGGAGCCAAGAGCAGGAUCUGUUGAUAUGGGGCAAGCAGGCAAUAUUGCUUCUGAAUUACUCCAGUCCCACGUGAGGAUGCUGCCGACUCCAGGGGCUUGUUGGCACGGCACUUCACAGUUGGAAGCUCCUUCACUCCCCCUGGCUCCACGGGCGGGGCCGGGGUGCGGUAGCCAGCCGAGGGUGGGACCCACAUUUGUUUUCUUCCCAAUGCCUCUGGAAGGGACAGGCCACGGCCCCGCCUGCCCUCGCUCUCCUAACACAGCGCCCUGUGGCCUCCCUGCCAUGUCUCAGUCCCCACGUUUCUCCUCUCCCUGAGGACACGAUGGGGUUACCAUCCAGAACAUUUCCCGUGAGCUCACAGAACCACCACCAUCCUCCUCACAGCGAAGGCACCGGAACACACCUUCUAAGAGUAACGUGGAUCCACCCACUGGGUGCGCUGUGUGCAGAGAGGUUCAGGAGUGAGAGUCUUCAUCAGAGAGGAUCCUGGAAACCACACAACUACAGCCGCUAAGGAAGUCAUUGAUUCAGACAACGAUAACCAACGAAGCAAGGACCAUCGGCAAGAGGUUGCUAAGCAACGGCAUCUUCAACCCGAGGAGCUGAGCUCCCCAAGAUUACCCCGGAGGCCCCAAGAUCGAUCUCAGCAUCACCAGAAACGGGACAGUCAGGCGUCUGGUGCCUCCUGGAGAGACACAAUGCGAAGCUUCUUGCCUUUCUUCCCAAGGACGUCGUCGAUCCCAAAUCGAAUCGAGGCUCUACAGCUGUGCUAGCUCAGGGGGCAGCCGCUGGCCACAUUCGGCUGAGCCAAUGUAAAUCCACUAAUACUUAAUAAAAUUUGCAGCCCAGUUCCUCAGUGGCACCAGCCACAUCUCAAGUGCUCGGGGUCAGGAACGGUUGCCAACGCCGUCAGGUGUGAUAGGGAGCUUGCGGUUAUGGAAGACUGCUGAGAGAUGGGGACUGAAUGAUAUCAUCCAAAAUUUGCCUUCAAAGACUUCCCCAGAGAAAAAGCAAGGAGGCGAAGCGAGUACUUACGGCAAAACGUUCGUAACUGUCAAAUUUAGGCUAUAAGUGUCAGGGGUUCAUUAUAUCGUCCUCUCUACUUUUUGAAUGCAAGUUCAUAGGAUGGAAUGGAAUAUUUACAUAAUCUUGAAAUACCCCCUCCCUGUGCCCCCCCCCAAAUGCUAUUAAUUACCAAACGAAACAGUCAGGUUAUGGAGAGAAACUUGCCAACCAAGGGAUCAAGGUUAACGUCACACUGAAAGGACAGACCGAAGCUAUGAACCCCGGGUUGGGAGGCACUGAGAAGGACCAGCAUCACUUCUGCCAAAAACGCAGAGCCUCAGUCUGAUCAGGAGAACAGGUCAAGGACCCCAAAUGGAGCCAGAGUCCACAGAACCCCCGGGCUGGAUGCUGCAGACGCAAAGGUCUCCAAGACAGAGGAAGGCUAGAGGUGAGUUCUGGGUGAGAGGAAGCUACCCAGACGACGCGAUCAGGAUCCCAAACCAGAUCCGGGAUCGGAGGGAACCACGGGAAAGCGGGAACUGGGACAGCAAUGGGGCGAUGGGUAGAAUCUACAUGUGGACGCUAUCGAACAACAUUGUGUCAAUGCUAAACUUUUUUUUUCUGUUUCUUCUCACAUUUAAUAAAUGACCUGCAUAUGUUACCAUUUUCA